RNAcentral lists this ribosomal RNA (305 nucleotides) under uncultured bacterium. RNAcentral's name for it is "bacterial SSU rRNA". It matches the Rfam family "Bacterial small subunit ribosomal RNA", at positions 334 to 656 of the family's 1533-position model. The record is from RNAcentral.
GAUACCUACGGGGGGCAGCAGUGGGGAAUAUUGCACAAUGGGGGAAACCCUGAUGCAGCAACGCCGCGUGAGUGAAGAAGUAUUUCGGUAUGUAAAGCUCUAUCAGCAGGGAAGAAAAUGACAGUACCUGACUAAGAAGCCCCGGCUAACUACGUGCCAGCAGCCGCGGUAAUACGUAGGGGGCAAGCGUUAUCCGGAUUUACUGGGUGUAAAGGGAGCGUAGACGGCUGCGCAAGUCAGAAGUGAAAGCCCGGGGCUCAACCGCGGGACGGCUUUGGAAACUGCGUAGCUAGAGAGCAGGAGCG